This 1307-nucleotide ribosomal RNA is filed under the name Klebsiella pneumoniae. RNAcentral describes it as "bacterial LSU rRNA". It matches the Rfam family "Bacterial large subunit ribosomal RNA", at positions 1640 to 2925 of the family's 2925-position model. Lineage: Bacteria; Pseudomonadati; Pseudomonadota; Gammaproteobacteria; Enterobacterales; Enterobacteriaceae. The record is from RNAcentral.
AAUCGUACCCCAAACCGACACAGGUGGUCAGGUAGAGAAUACCAAGGCGCUUGAGAGAACUCGGGUGAAGGAACUAGGCAAAAUGGUGCCGUAACUUCGGGAGAAGGCACGCUGGUGUGUAGGUGAAGUCCCUGCGGAUGGAGCUGAGACCAGUCGAAGAUACCAGCUGGCUGCAACUGUUUAUUAAAAACACAGCACUGUGCAAACACGAAAGUGGACGUAUACGGUGUGACGCCUGCCCGGUGCCGGAAGGUUAAUUGAUGGGGUUAUCCGUAAGGAGAAGCUCUUGAUCGAAGCCCCGGUAAACGGCGGCCGUAACUAUAACGGUCCUAAGGUAGCGAAAUUCCUUGUCGGGUAAGUUCCGACCUGCACGAAUGGCGUAAUGAUGGCCAGGCUGUCUCCACCCGAGACUCAGUGAAAUUGAACUCGCUGUGAAGAUGCAGUGUACCCGCGGCAAGACGGAAAGACCCCGUGAACCUUUACUAUAGCUUGACACUGAACAUUGAGCCUUGAUGUGUAGGAUAGGUGGGAGGCUUUGAAGCGUGGACGCCAGUCUGCGUGGAGCCAACCUUGAAAUACCACCCUUUAAUGUUUGAUGUUCUAACGUUGGCCCCUUACCGGGGUUGCGGACAGUGUCUGGUGGGUAGUUUGACUGGGGCGGUCUCCUCCCAAAGCGUAACGGAGGAGCACGAAGGUUAGCUAAUCCUGGUCGGACAUCAGGAGGUUAGUGCAAUGGCAUAAGCUAGCUUGACUGCGAGCGUGACGGCGCGAGCAGGUGCGAAAGCAGGUCAUAGUGAUCCGGUGGUUCUGAAUGGAAGGGCCAUCGCUCAACGGAUAAAAGGUACUCCGGGGAUAACAGGCUGAUACCGCCCAAGAGUUCAUAUCGACGGCGGUGUUUGGCACCUCGAUGUCGGCUCAUCACAUCCUGGGGCUGAAGUAGGUCCCAAGGGUAUGGCUGUUCGCCAUUUAAAGUGGUACGCGAGCUGGGUUUAGAACGUCGUGAGACAGUUCGGUCCCUAUCUGCCGUGGGCGCUGGAGAAUUGAGGGGGGCUGCUCCUAGUACGAGAGGACCGGAGUGGACGCAUCACUGGUGUUCGGGUUGUCAUGCCAAUGGCACUGCCCGGUAGCUAAAUGCGGAAGAGAUAAGUGCUGAAAGCAUCUAAGCACGAAACUUGCCCCGAGAUGAGUUCUCCCUGAGACUUUAAGUCUCCUGAAGGAACGUUAAAGACGAUGACGUUGAUAGGCCGGGUGUGUAAGCGCAGCGAUGCGUUGAGCUAACCGGUACUAAUGAACCGUGAGGCUUAACC